AAAGGAAAAAAAAUCUUGUGAGUCCGCUACAAAAUAUGAGUUCAACGUGAUUUGAACCCAAACGUUAAUAGAGACAGGCCAAACGACCUACCACUAAGCCACCAGGGACGAUCUGAAUUUUUUGUGAAAUUAAAGACAAUAGUAGAUUGUUGUGACCUGCUUAUCUCAUGCGGUGUAGGAGACUAUUAUGCGGUGAAUGGCGGUGAACGCGGUGAAAGAAUUCAAUAUGAAAUCAACACAGAAUGAUUAGCUGGAUCUCUUCGGGCCAGGUUCAACAUAGCAAUAUUUUUUUCUGCUUGUAAAGCAAUUUCUCACAUAGAAAUAUAAAAAGAGUAAAAAAUAGCCAGAUUAUAUAAAGAUUAAAGGGAAAAAAAAUUGUGAGUCUGCUACAAAAUAUGAGUUCAGCGUGAUUUGAACUCAAACGUUUAUCGAGAUAGGCCAAACGAACUACCACUAAGCCACCAGGGACGAUCUGAAAUUUUUGUGAAAUUAAAGACAAUAGUAGAUUGUUGUGACCUGCUUAUCUCAUACGGUGUAGGAGACUAUUAUGCGGUGAAUGGCGGUGAACGCGGUGAAAAAAUUCAAUAUGAAAUCAACACAGAAUGAUUAGCUGGAUCUCUUCGGGCUAGGUUCAACAUAGCAAUAUUUUAUACUACUUGCAAAGCGAUUUCUCACAUAGAACUAUAAAAAGAGUAAAAAAUAGCCAGAUUAUAUAAAGGGAAGAAAAAUAUUGAGAGUCCGCUACAAAAUAUGAGUUCAACGGGAUUUGAACCCAAACGUUAAUAGAGACAGGCCAGACGAACUACCACUAAGCUACCAGGGACGAUCUGAAAUUUUUGUGAAAUUAAAGACAAUAGUAAAUUGUUGUGACCUGCUUAUCUCAUGCGGUGUAGGAGACUAUUAUGCGGUGAAUGGCGGUGAACGCGGUGAAAGAAUUCAAUAUGAAGUCAACAGAGAAUGAUUAGCUGGAUCUCUUCGGGCCAGGUUCAACAUAGCAAUAUUUUAUACUACUUCCAAAGCGAUUUCUCACAUAGAACUAUAAAAAGAGUAAAAAAUAGCCAGAUUAUAUAAAGGGAAAAAAAUAUUGUGAGUCCGCUACAAAAUAUGAGUUCAACGUGAUUUGAACCCAAACGUUAAUAGAGACAGGCCAGACGAACUACCACUAAGCCAACAGGGACGAUCUGAAAUUUUUGUGAAAUUAAAGACAAUAGUAGAUUGUUGUGACCUGCUUAUCUCAUGCGGUGUAGGAGACUAUUAUGCGGUGAAUGGCGGUGAACGCGGUGAAAGAAUUCAAUAUGAAAUCAACACGGAAUGAUUAGCUGGAUCUCUUCGGGCCAGGUUCAACAUAGCAAUAUUUUAUACUACUUGCAAAGCGAUAUCUCACAUAGAACUAUAAAAAGAGUAAAAAAUAGCCUGAUUAUAUAAAGGGAAAAAAAAUAUUGUGAGUCCGCUACAAAAUAUGAGUUCAACGUGAUUUGAACACAAACGUUAAUAGAGACAGGCCAGAGGAACUACCACUAAGCCACCAGGGACGAUCUGAAAUUUUUGUGAAAUUAAAGACAAUAGUAGAUUGUUGUGACCUGCUUAUCUCAUGCGGUGUACGAGACUAUUAUGCGGUGAAUGGUGGUGAACGCCGUGAAAGAAUUCAAUAUGAAAUCAACACAGAAUUAUUAGCUGGAUCUCUUUGGGCCAAGUUCAAAAUAGCAAUAUUUUAUGCUACUUGCAAAGCGAUUUCUCACAUAGAAGUAUAAAAAGUAUAAAAAAUAGCAACAAUAAAUAGAGGAAAAAAAAUAUUGAGAGUCCGCUACAAAAUAUGAGUUCAACGGGAUUUGAACCCAAACGUUAAUCGAGACAGGGCAGACGAACUACCACUAAGCCACCAGGGACGAUCUGCAAUUUUUGUGAAAUUAAAGACAACAGUAAAUUGUUGUGACCUGCUUAUCUCAUGCGGUGUAGGAGACUAUUAUGCGGUGAAUGGCGGUGAACGCGGUGAAAGAAUUCAAUAUGAAAUCAACACAGAAUGAUUAGCUGGAUCUCUUCAGGCCAGGUUCAACAUAGCAAUAUUUUUUUCUCCUUGUAAAGCAAUUUCUCACAUAGAAAUAUAAAAAGAGUAAAAAAUAGCCAGAUUAUAUAAAGAUUAAAAGGAAAAAAAUUUGUGAGUCUGCUACAAAAUAUGAGUUCAACGUGAUUUGAACCCAAACGUUAAUAGAGACAGGCCAGACGAACUACCACUAAGCCACCAGGGACGAUCUGAAAUUUUUGUGAAAUUAAAGACAAUAGUAGAUUGUUGUGACCUGCUUAUCUCACGCGGUGUAGGAGACUAUUAUGCGGUGAAUGGCGGUGAACGCGGUGAAAGAAUUCAAUAUGAAAUCAACAGAGAAUGAUUAGCUGGAUCUCUUCGGGCCAGGUUCAACAUAGCAAUAUUUUAUACUACUUGCAAAGCGAUUUCUCACAUAGAACUAUAAAAAGAGUAAAAAAUAGCCAGAUUAUAUAAAGGGAAAAAAAUAUUGUGAGUCCGCUACAAAAUAUGAGUUCAACGUGAUUUGAACCCAAACGUUAAUAGAGACAGGCCAGACGAACUACCACUAAGCCACCAGGGACGAUCUGAAAUUUUUGUGAUAUUAAAGACAAUAGUAGAUUGUUCUGACCUGCUUAUCUCAUGCGGUGUAGGAGACUAUUAUGCGGUGAAUGGCGGUGAACGCGGUGAAAGAAUUCAAUAAGAAAUCAACACAGAAUGAUUAGCUGCAUCUCUUCGGGCCAGGUUCAACAUAGCAAUAUUUUAUACUACUUGCAAAGCGAUUUCUCACAUAGAAGUACAAAAAGUAUAAAAAAUAGCAAGAAUAAAUAAAGGGGAAAAAUAUUGAGAGUCCGCUAAAAAAUAUGAGUUCAACGGGAUUUGAACCCAAACGUUAAUAGAGACAGGACAUACGAACUACCACUAAGCCACCAGGGACGAUCUGAAGUUCUUGCGAAAUUAAAGACAAUAGUAGAUUGUUGUGACCUGCUUAUCUCAUGCGGUGUAGGAGACUAUUAUGCGGUGAAUGGCGGUGAACGCGGUGAAAGAAUUCAAUAUGAAAUCAACACAGAAUGAUUAGCUGGAUCUCUUCGGGCCAGGUUCAACAUAGCAAUAUUUUUUUCUGCUUGUAAAGCAAUUUCUCACAUAGAAAUAUAAAAAGAGUAAAAAAUAGCCAGAUUAUAUAAAGAUUAAAGGGAAAAAAAAUUGUGAGUCUGCUACAAAAUAUGAGUUCAGCGUGAUUUGAACUCAAACGUUUAUCGAGAUAGGCCAAACGAACUACCACUAAGCCACCAGGGACGAUCUGAAAUUUUUGUGAAAUUAAAGACAAUAGUAGAUUGUUGUGACCUGCUUAUCUCAUACGGUGUAGGAGACUAUUAUGCGGUGAAUGGCGGUGAACGCGGUGAAAAAAUUCAAUAUGAAAUCAACACAGAAUGAUUAGCUGGAUCUCUUCGGGCUAGGUUCAACAUAGCAAUAUUUUAUACUACUUGCAAAGCGAUUUCUCACAUAGAACUAUAAAAAGAGUAAAAAAUAGCCAGAUUAUAUAAAGGGAAAAAAAAUAUUGAGAGUCCGCUACAAAAUAUGAGUUCAACGUGAUUUGAACCCAAACGUUAAUAGAGACAGGCCAGACGAACUACCACUAAGCCACCAGGGACGAUCUGAAAUUUUUGUGAAAUUAAAGACAAUAGUAGAUUGUUGUGACCUGCUUAUCUCAUGCGGUGUAGGAGACUAUUAUGCGGUGAAUAGCGGUGAAUGCGGUGAAAGAAUUCAAUAUGAAAUCAACACGGAAUGAUUAGCUGGAUCUCUUCGGGCCAGGUUCAACAUAGCAAUAUUUUAUACUACUUGCAAAGCGAUAUCUCACAUAGAACUAUAAAAAGAGUGAAAAAUAGCCAGAUUAUAUAAAGGAAAAAAAAUAUUGUGAGUCCGCUACAAAAUAUGAGUUCAACGUGAUUUGAACCCAAACGUUAAUAGAGACAGGCCAGACGAACUACCACUAAGCCACCUGGGACGAUCUGAAAUUUUUGUGAAAUUAAAGACAAUAGUAGAUUGUUGUAACCUGCUUAUCUCAUGCGGUGCAGGAGACUAUUAUGCGGUGAAUGGCGGUGAACGCGGUGAAAGAAUUCAAUAUGAAAUCAACAGAGAAUGAUUAGCUGGAUCUCUUCGGGCCAGGUUCAACAUAGCAAUAUUUUA
RNAcentral lists this long non-coding RNA (4204 nucleotides) under Paramuricea clavata. The record is from RNAcentral. Lineage: Eukaryota; Metazoa; Cnidaria; Anthozoa; Malacalcyonacea; Plexauridae.